Molecule: ribosomal RNA, 491 nt
Filed under: uncultured bacterium
Lineage: Bacteria
Description: partial 16S ribosomal RNA
Rfam family: Bacterial small subunit ribosomal RNA
Source: RNAcentral
AGUGAACGCUGGCGGUAGGCCUAACACAUGCAAGUCGAACGGCAGCACAGUAAGAGCUUGCUCUUACGGGUGGCGAGUGGCGGACGGGUGAGGAAUACAUCGGAAUCUACUUUUUCGUGGGGGAUAACGUAGGGAAACUUACGCUAAUACCGCAUACGACCUACGGGUGAAAGCAGGGGAUCUUCGGACCUUGCGCGAUUGAAUGAGCCGAUGUCGGAUUAGCUAGUUGGCGGGGUAAGGCCCACCAAGGCGACGAUCCGUAGCUGGGCUGGGAGGAUGAUCAGCCACACUGGAACUGAGACACGGUCCAGACUCCUACGGGAGGCAGCAGUGGGGAAUAUUGGACAAUGGGCGCAAGCCUGAUCCAGCCAUACCGCGUGGGUGAAGAAGGCCUUCGGGUUGUAAAGCCCUUUUGUUGGGAAAGAAAAGCAGCAGGUUAAUACCCCGCUGUUCUGACGGUACCCAAAGAAUAAGCACCGGCUAACUUCGUG